This 71-nucleotide transfer RNA is filed under the name Camelus bactrianus (Bactrian camel). It matches the Rfam family "tRNA". From Rfam's summary of the family: Transfer RNA (tRNA) molecules are approximately 80 nucleotides in length. Their secondary structure includes four short double-helical elements and three loops (D, anti-codon, and T loops). Further hydrogen bonds mediate the characteristic L-shaped molecular structure. tRNAs have two regions of fundamental functional importance: the anti-codon, which is responsible for specific mRNA codon recognition, and the 3' end, to which the tRNAs corresponding amino acid is attached (by aminoacyl-tRNA synthetases). tRNAs cope with the degeneracy of the genetic code in two manners: having more than one tRNA (with a specific anti-codon) for a particular amino acid; and 'wobble' base-pairing, i.e. permitting non-standard base-pairing at the 3rd anti-codon position. The record is from Rfam by way of RNAcentral. Lineage: Eukaryota; Metazoa; Chordata; Mammalia; Artiodactyla; Camelidae. RNAcentral also lists the same sequence under 2 other names.
GAGGGUAUUGCUCAGUGGUAGAGUGCAUGCCUAGCAUGCACGAGGUCCAGAUUCAAUCCCCAGUACCUCCA